AUGAAUCCAUUGAAUUCAUCUUCUAAAUCCACAUUGAAUGUCCAUAGAGCCUUGAUUUGGAGAAAGAGAACAGGGAACAGCAAAAUGGGAUUAUAUAGAGAGGUUCUGAUCCUCUCUUUUCUAGUCCAGUGGGCUACAGUAUUGCCCCAGGGUAUGAAGGAGAUGCCCGUCAACCAUUCAACAAUAGGAUUUCCGAGACUACCUGCAGACUUCAGGGAAAUGGCCAAGAAACUGAUGAGCACAUGCUUCAUGAAAGGUAAAAUUUGUCAUUAUCUGUUAACUUGGACACAUUUGGACUUACAAAAUCAUGCUGUCAAAAUGACUUACAGUAUGUGUUGCACCUGUGUUUAAUGUAAUAAAUUAAGGGAGCUAUAUUGCA
Molecule: long non-coding RNA, 379 nt
Organism: Cyprinus carpio (common carp)
Lineage: Eukaryota; Metazoa; Chordata; Actinopteri; Cypriniformes; Cyprinidae
Source: Ensembl